Molecule: ribosomal RNA, 2792 nt
Filed under: Salmonella enterica subsp. enterica serovar Typhimurium
Lineage: Bacteria; Pseudomonadati; Pseudomonadota; Gammaproteobacteria; Enterobacterales; Enterobacteriaceae
Description: partial 23S ribosomal RNA
Rfam family: Bacterial large subunit ribosomal RNA
Source: RNAcentral
GAUUCGUCACACUAUCAUUAACUGAAUCCAUAGGUUAAUGAGGCGAACCGGGGGAACUGAAACAUCUAAGUACCCCGAGGAAAAGAAAUCAACCGAGAUUCCCCCAGUAGCGGCGAGCGAACGGGGAGGAGCCCAGAGCCUGAAUCAGCAUGUGUGUUAGUGGAAGCGUCUGGAAAGGCGCGCGAUACAGGGUGACAGCCCCGUACACAAAAGCGCAUGUGCUGUGAGCUCGAUGAGUAGGGCGGGACACGUGGUAUCCUGUCUGAAUAUGGGGGGACCAUCCUCCAAGGCUAAAUACUCCUGACUGACCGAUAGUGAACCAGUACCGUGAGGGAAAGGCGAAAAGAACCCCGGCGAGGGGAGUGAAAAAGAACCUGAAACCGUGUACGUACAAGCAGUGGGAGCACCCUUCGGGGUGUGACUGCGUACCUUUUGUAUAAUGGGUCAGCGACUUAUAUUCUGUAGCAAGGUUAACCGUAUAGGGGAGCCGGAGGGAAACCGAGUCUUAACCGGGCGUUAAGUUGCAGGGUAUAGACCCGAAACCCGGUGAUCUAGCCAUGGGCAGGUUGAAGGUUGGGUAACACUAACUGGAGGACCGAACCGACUAAUGUUGAAAAAUUAGCGGAUGACCUGUGGCUGGGGGUGAAAGGCCAAUCAAACCGGGAGAUAGCUGGUUCUCCCCGAAAGCUAUUUAGGUAGCGCCUCGUGAAUUCAUCUCCGGGGGUAGAGCACUGUUUCGGCUAGGGGGCCAUCCCGGCUUACCAACCCGAUGCAAACUGCGAAUACCGGAGAAUGUUAUCACGGGAGACACACGGCGGGUGCUAACGUCCGUCGUGAAGAGGGAAACAACCCAGACCGCCAGCUAAGGUCCCAAAGUCAUGGUUAAGUGGGAAACGAUGUGGGAAGGCCCAGACAGCCAGGAUGUUGGCUUAGAAGCAGCCAUCAUUUAAAGAAAGCGUAAUAGCUCACUGGUCGAGUCGGCCUGCGCGGAAGAUGUAACGGGGCUAAACCAUGCACCGAAGCUGCGGCAGCGAACGUAUCACCCAAGACAACUUUACGGAGUUGACGAUUGACGGAGCGAAGCGACGUCAAAGCGUUCAUUAAAGUCGAGUUGGCUUAGGGAUACGUUCGUUGGGUAGGGGAGCGUUCUGUAAGCCUGUGAAGGUGUGUCGUGAGGCAUGCUGGAGGUAUCAGAAGUGCGAAUGCUGACAUAAGUAACGAUAAAGCGGGUGAAAAGCCCGCUCGCCGGAAGACCAAGGGUUCCUGUCCAACGUUAAUCGGGGCAGGGUGAGUCGACCCCUAAGGCGAGGCCGAAAGGCGUAGUCGAUGGGAAACGGGUUAAUAUUCCCGUACUUGGUGUUACUGCGAAGGGGGGACGGAGAAGGCUAUGUUGGCCGGGCGACGGUUGUCCCGGUUUAAGCGUGUAGGUGUGUGUUCCAGGUAAAUCCGGUUCACUUUAACACUGAGGCGUGACGACGAGGCACUACGGUGCUGAAGCAACAAAUGCCCUGCUUCCAGGAAAAGCCUCUAAGCAUCAGGUAACAUCAAAUCGUACCCCAAACCGACACAGGUGGUCAGGUAGAGAAUACCAAGGCGCUUGAGAGAACUCGGGUGAAGGAACUAGGCAAAAUGGUGCCGUAACUUCGGGAGAAGGCACGCUGACACGUAGGUGAAGUGAUUUACUCAUGGAGCUGAAGUCAGUCGAAGAUACCAGCUGGCUGCAACUGUUUAUUAAAAACACAGCACUGUGCAAACACGAAAGUGGACGUAUACGGUGUGACGCCUGCCCGGUGCCGGAAGGUUAAUUGAUGGGGUCAGCGCAAGCGAAGCUCCUGAUCGAAGCCCCGGUAAACGGCGGCCGUAACUAUAACGGUCCUAAGGUAGCGAAAUUCCUUGUCGGGUAAGUUCCGACCUGCACGAAUGGCGUAAUGAUGGCCAGGCUGUCUCCACCCGAGACUCAGUGAAAUUGAACUCGCUGUGAAGAUGCAGUGUACCCGCGGCAAGACGGAAAGACCCCGUGAACCUUUACUAUAGCUUGACACUGAACAUUGAGCCUUGAUGUGUAGGAUAGGUGGGAGGCUUUGAAGUGUGGACGCCAGUCUGCAUGGAGCCGACCUUGAAAUACCACCCUUUAAUGUUUGAUGUUCUAACGUGGACCCGUAAUCCGGGUUGCGGACAGUGUCUGGUGGGUAGUUUGACUGGGGCGGUCUCCUCCUAAAGAGUAACGGAGGAGCACGAAGGUUGGCUAAUCCUGGUCGGACAUCAGGAGGUUAGUGCAAUGGCAUAAGCCAGCUUGACUGCGAGCGUGACGGCGCGAGCAGGUGCGAAAGCAGGUCAUAGUGAUCCGGUGGUUCUGAAUGGAAGGGCCAUCGCUCAACGGAUAAAAGGUACUCCGGGGAUAACAGGCUGAUACCGCCCAAGAGUUCAUAUCGACGGCGGUGUUUGGCACCUCGAUGUCGGCUCAUCACAUCCUGGGGCUGAAGUAGGUCCCAAGGGUAUGGCUGUUCGCCAUUUAAAGUGGUACGCGAGCUGGGUUUAGAACGUCGUGAGACAGUUCGGUCCCUAUCUGCCGUGGGCGCUGGAGAACUGAGGGGGGCUGCUCCUAGUACGAGAGGACCGGAGUGGACGCAUCACUGGUGUUCGGGUUGUCAUGCCAAUGGCACUGCCCGGUAGCUAAAUGCGGAAGAGAUAAGUGCUGAAAGCAUCUAAGCACGAAACUUGCCCCGAGAUGAGUUCUCCCUGAGACUUAGAGUCUCCUGAAGGAACGUUGAAGACGACGACGUUGAUAGGCC